UUUUAUGAGAGUUUGAUCCUGGCUCAGGACGAACGCUGGCGGCGUGCCUAAUACAUGCAAGUCGAACGCUUCUUUUUCCACCGGAGCUUGCUCCACCGGAAAAAGAAGAGUGGCGAACGGGUGAGUACUACGUGGGUAACCGGCCCAUCAGAAGGGGAUAACACUUGGAAACAGGGGCUAAAACCGUAUAACAAUAAAAACCGCAUGGUUUGGAUUUGAAAGGCGCUUUCGGGUGUCGCUGAUGGAGGGACCCGCGGUGCAUUAGCUAGUUGGUGAGGUAACGGCUCACCA
This 291-nucleotide ribosomal RNA is filed under the name Enterococcus faecium. Its description in RNAcentral is "partial 16S ribosomal RNA". It matches the Rfam family "Bacterial small subunit ribosomal RNA", at positions 1 to 270 of the family's 1533-position model. The record is from RNAcentral. Lineage: Bacteria; Bacillati; Bacillota; Bacilli; Lactobacillales; Enterococcaceae.